Molecule: ribosomal RNA, 253 nt
Filed under: uncultured bacterium
Lineage: Bacteria
Description: partial 16S ribosomal RNA
Rfam family: Bacterial small subunit ribosomal RNA
Source: RNAcentral
UACGAGAGGUGCAAGCGUUAUUCGGAUUAAUUGGGUGUAAAGGGCGCGUAGACGGCAUGUUAAGUUUGUAGUUAAAUACUCCGGCUCAACUGGAGAAAUGCUGCAAAGACUGGCAAGCUAGAGGAUGGAAGAGAGAAGUGGAAUUCUCGGAGUAGCGGUAAAAUGCGUAGAUCUCGAGAGGAACACCGAUGGCGAAGGCAGCUUCUUGGUCCAUUCCUGACGUUGAGGCGCGAAAGCGUGGGGAGCAAACAGG